CUUGCCCGAACUUUGUUUGUUGGCCCAUCACGAGAAGCUUGCAUCCAUGCACGUUUGAGGAGCAACCAGAACUGCCUCCACCAAGUCUCUUUCCUUUUUACAACAGUUUUCUUGCUUAACUUCUUGCCAUUCUUAGGGCUCUCCCUGCUGGCAAAGGGAGUUGCAUAAAGCACAGUUGAUAAUUGUUCUGAGAAUGACUCAACAAGGCCAUCUAUCCUUUUCCGGGAAGAAUACACACUUUCAGCAGAACUGUAGUCAACAGAUAUGAGAUCAGCCAAAAAUUCAGCUGGAUUAACAUGAUCUGAGCAACGAUAC
Molecule: unclassified non-coding RNA, 315 nt
Filed under: Hevea brasiliensis (rubber tree)
Lineage: Eukaryota; Viridiplantae; Streptophyta; Magnoliopsida; Malpighiales; Euphorbiaceae
Source: RNAcentral